Molecule: ribosomal RNA, 1490 nt
Filed under: Lactiplantibacillus plantarum
Lineage: Bacteria; Bacillati; Bacillota; Bacilli; Lactobacillales; Lactobacillaceae
Description: bacterial SSU rRNA
Rfam family: Bacterial small subunit ribosomal RNA
Source: RNAcentral
AGACGAACGCUGGCGGCGUGCCUAAUACAUGCAAGUCGAACGAACUCUGGUAUUGAUUGGUGCUUGCAUCAUGAUUUACAUUUGAGUGAGUGGCGAACUGGUGAGUAACACGUGGGAAACCUGUCCAGAAGCGGGGGAUAACACCUGGAAACAGAUGCUAAUACCGCAUAACAACUUGGACCGCAUGGUCCGAGUUUGAAAGAUGGCUUCGGCUAUCACUUUUGGAUGGUCCCGCGGCGUAUUAGCUAGAUGGUGGGGUAACGGCUCACCAUGGCAAUGAUACGUAGCCGACCUGAGAGGGUAAUCGGCCACAUUGGGACUGAGACACGGCCCAAACUCCUACGGGAGGCAGCAGUAGGGAAUCUUCCACAAUGGACGAAAGUCUGAUGGAGCAACGCCGCGUGAGUGAUGAAGGGUUUCGGCUCGUAAAACUCUGUUGUUAAAGAAGAACAUAUCUGAGAGUAACUGUUCAGGUAUUGACGGUAUUUAACCAGAAAGCCACGGCUAACUACGUGCCAGCAGCCGCGGUAAUACGUAGGUGGCAAGCGUUGUCCGGAUUUAUUGGGCGUAAAGCGAGCGCAGGCGGUUUUUUAAGUCUGAUGUGAAAGCCUUCGGCUCAACCGAAGAAGUGCAUCGGAAACUGGGAAACUUGAGUGCAGAAGAGGACAGUGGAACUCCAUGUGUAGCGGUGAAAUGCGUAGAUAUAUGGAAGAACACCAGUGGCGAAGGCGGCUGUCUGGUCUGUAACUGACGCUGAGGCUCGAAAGUAUGGGUAGCAAACAGGAUUAGAUACCCUGGUAGUCCAUACCGUAAACGAUGAAUGCUAAGUGUUGGAGGGUCUCCGCCCUUCAGUGCUGCAGCUAACGCAUUAAGCAUUCCGCCUGGGGAGUACGGCCGCAAGGCUGAAACUCAAAGGAAUUGACGGGGGCCCGCACAAGCGGUGGAGCAUGUGGUUUAAUUCGAAGCUACGCGAAGAACCUUACCAGGUCUUGACAUACUAUGCAAAUCUAAGAGAUUAGACGUUCCCUUCGGGGACAUGGAUACAGGUGGUGCAUGGUUGUCGUCAGCUCGUGUCGUGAGAUGUUGGGUUAAGUCCCGCAACGAGCGCAACCCUUAUUAUCAGUUGCCAGCAUUAAGUUGGGCACUCUGGUGAGACUGCCGGUGACAAACCGGAGGAAGGUGGGGAUGACGUCAAAUCAUCAUGCCCCUUAUGACCUGGGCUACACACGUGCUACAAUGGAUGGUACAACGAGUUGCGAACUCGCGAGAGUAAGCUAAUCUCUUAAAGCCAUUCUCAGUUCGGAUUGUAGGCUGCAACUCGCCUACAUGAAGUCGGAAUCGCUAGUAAUCGCGGAUCAGCAUGCCGCGGUGAAUACGUUCCCGGGCCUUGUACACACCGCCCGUCACACCAUGAGAGUUUGUAACACCCAAAGUCGGUGGGGUAACCUUUUAGGAACCAGCCGCCUAAGGUGGGACAGAUGAUUAGGGUG